GAGCUCUCAAUCUGUCAAUCCUUCCAGUGUCCGGGCCUGGUGAGAUUUCCCGUGUUGAGUCAAAUUAAGCCGCAGGCUCCACUCCUGGUGGUGCCCUUCCGUCAAUUCCUUUAAGUUUCAGCUUUGCAACCAUACUUCCCCCGGAACCCAAACGCUUUGGUUUCCCGAAAGCUUCCCGCAGAGCCUACAAAUGCAACUCAGCGGAUCGCUAGCUGGCAUCGUUUAUGGUUAGAACUAGGGCGGUAUCUGAUCGCCUUCGAACCUCUAACUUUCGUUCUUGAUUGAUGAAACCACUCUUGGCAAAUGCUUUCGCAGUAGUUAGUCUCCAGACGGUCCAAGAAUUUCACCUCUGUCGUCCGAAUACUAAUGCCCCCAGUUGUCCCUAUUAAUCAUUAAGUCAAUUCCCAAAAACCAACAAAAUAGGAACGACCUCCUAUUCCAUUAUUCCAUGCACGAAUAUUCAAGCUUCUAGCCUGCUUUGAGCACUCUAAUUUUUUCAAAGUAAACCUGACGGCGACUAGAGACACUCAAUGAAGAGGACCUUCAACCCUCCGUCAAAAACACGGAUAAAUGGGGCAGUAGCGUCAAAUAACGAACCGCCCCCUACCUGCCGAGAUCCAACUACGAGCUUUUUAACCGCAACAACUUUAAUAUACGCUAUUGGAGCUGGAAU
Molecule: ribosomal RNA, 673 nt
Filed under: uncultured metazoan
Lineage: Eukaryota; Metazoa
Description: partial 18S ribosomal RNA
Source: RNAcentral